AUUGAACGCUGGCGGCAGGCCUAACACAUGCAAGUCGAACGAGUGGCGGACGGGUGAGUAAUGUCUGGGAAACUGCCUGAUGGAGGGGGAUAACUACUGGAAACGGUAGCUAAUACCGCAUACCAUCGGAUGUGCCCAGAUGGGAUUAGCUAGUAGGUGGGGUAAAGGCUCACCUAGGCGACGAUCCCUAGCUGGUCUGAGAGGAUGACCAGCCACAGUGGAACUGAGACACGGUCCAGACUCCUACGGGAGGCAGCAGUGGGGGAUAUUGCACAAUGGGCGAAAGCCUGAUGCAGCCAUGGCGCGUGUAUGAGGAAGGCCUUCGGGUUGUAAAGUACUUUCAGCGGGGAGGCGUUACCCGCAGAAGAAGCACCGGCUAACUCCGUGCCAGCAGCCGCGGUAAUUC
This 406-nucleotide ribosomal RNA is filed under the name uncultured bacterium. RNAcentral's name for it is "partial 16S ribosomal RNA". It matches the Rfam family "Bacterial small subunit ribosomal RNA", at positions 30 to 526 of the family's 1533-position model. The record is from RNAcentral.